Molecule: small nucleolar RNA, 80 nt
Organism: Rhinolophus ferrumequinum (greater horseshoe bat)
Lineage: Eukaryota; Metazoa; Chordata; Mammalia; Chiroptera; Rhinolophidae
Source: Ensembl
GUGCUGUCUUGAAAAGAGCCAAAUUUGAGCAUCAGAAGACCUUCCAGUCAGCUUGAUGCAUGAUCUCUGUAGCUCUGAGA